CGUGUAGGCGGUUUGGUAAGUCAGAUGUAAAAGGUCCCGGCUUAACCGGGGAUGGUCAUUUGAAACUGCCAGGCUUGAGUUCGAGAGAGGGUAGCGGAACUCCCAGUGUAGCGGUGAAAUGCGUAGAUAUUGGGAAGAACACCAGUAGCGAAGGCGGCUACCUGGCUCGCAACUGACGCUAAGGCGCGAAAGCGUGGGGAGCAAACA
Molecule: ribosomal RNA, 207 nt
Filed under: uncultured bacterium
Lineage: Bacteria
Description: partial 16S ribosomal RNA
Rfam family: Bacterial small subunit ribosomal RNA
Source: RNAcentral